This 465-nucleotide ribosomal RNA is filed under the name Vreelandella stevensii. Its description in RNAcentral is "partial 16S ribosomal RNA". It matches the Rfam family "Bacterial small subunit ribosomal RNA", at positions 338 to 795 of the family's 1533-position model. Lineage: Bacteria; Pseudomonadati; Pseudomonadota; Gammaproteobacteria; Oceanospirillales; Halomonadaceae. The record is from RNAcentral.
CCUACGGGUGGCAGCAGUGGGGAAUAUUGGACAAUGGGCGAAAGCCUGAUCCAGCCAUGCCGCGUGUGUGAAGAAGGCCUUCGGGUUGUAAAGCACUUUCAGUGGGGAAGAAAGCCUUGGGGCUAAUACCCUCGAGGAAGGACAUCACCCACAGAAGAAGCACCGGCUAACUCCGUGCCAGCAGCCGCGGUAAUACGGAGGGUGCGAGCGUUAAUCGGAAUUACUGGGCGUAAAGCGCGCGUAGGCGGUCUGAUAAGCCGGUUGUGAAAGCCCCGGGCUCAACCUGGGAACGGCAUCCGGAACUGUCAGGCUAGAGUGCAGGAGAGGAAGGUAGAAUUCCCGGUAUAGCGGUGAAAUGCGUAGAGAUCGGGAGGAAUACCAGUGGCGAAGGCGGCCUUCUGGACUGACACUGACGCUGAGGUGCGAAAGCGUGGGUAGCAAACAGGAUUAGAUACCCUAGUAGUC